GUGGCAGGACGUGCUAUCGCUUUUCCAUGUAAGAUGAGAAGAGAGGAAAGUCCGGACAGGAUAGGGCGCUGCACUGUCGAAAGACAGAUAUUUGCAAGAGUAUGGCGAUGUAACAGAAAAUAACCGCCCGUCACAGUACGGGUAAGGGUGAAAAGGUGAGGCAAGAGCUUACCGCGUCGUGUGGCAACAUGCGGCGGACAGUACAACCGGCAGCCUGCAAGACCAUGUAAACCGGCGUUUGAGGGUUGCCCGCCCGAUGCCGGAGGGUAGGUCGCAGUUUCUGUGGAAACACGGAAGAAAGAUAAAUGAUAGCAAUCCCCGUCAGGAGAUACAGAAUCCGGCUUACAGUCCUGCCAUUUAC
Molecule: RNase P RNA, 361 nt
Filed under: Prevotellaceae bacterium
Lineage: Bacteria; Pseudomonadati; Bacteroidota; Bacteroidia; Bacteroidales; Prevotellaceae
Description: RNase P RNA component class A
Rfam family: Bacterial RNase P class A
About the family: Ribonuclease P (RNase P) is a ubiquitous endoribonuclease, found in archaea, bacteria and eukarya as well as chloroplasts and mitochondria.
Source: RNAcentral